RNAcentral lists this ribosomal RNA (508 nucleotides) under uncultured bacterium. RNAcentral describes it as "partial 16S ribosomal RNA". It matches the Rfam family "Bacterial small subunit ribosomal RNA", at positions 28 to 507 of the family's 1533-position model. The record is from RNAcentral.
GACGAACGCUGGCGGCGUGCCUAAUACAUGCAAGUCGAACGCUUCUUUCCUCCCGAGUGCUUGCACUCAAUUGGAAAGCGGAGUGGCGGACGGGUGAGUAACACGUGGGUAACCUACCCAUCAGAGGGGGAUAACACUUGGAAACAGGUGCUAAUACCGCAUAACAGUUUAUGCCGCAUGGCAUAAGCGUGAAAGGCGCUUUCGGGUGUCGCUGAUGGAUGGGCUCGCGGUGCAUUAGCUAGUUGGUGAGGUAACGGCUCACCAAGGCCACGAUGCAUAGCCGACCUGAGAGGGUGAUCGGCCACACUGGGACUGAGACACGGCCCAGACUCCUACGGGAGGCAGCAGUAGGGAAUCUUCGGCAAUGGACGAAAGUCUGACCGAGCAACGCCGCGUGAGUGAAGAAGGUUUUCGGAUCGUAAAACUCUGUUGUUAGAGAAGAACAAGGACGUUAGUAACUGAACGUCCCCUGACGGUACCUAAACAGAAAGCCACGGCUAACUACGUG